GGUCGUGAUGUCAGACACGGGAGUCUCGACUUCAGGGAAGAUGGCACAUUUACCUAUGUGCAUAACGGCGAUAAUGCCGAAGAGGACACGUUCAACUACCGCGCAUUUGAUGGUACGGAAUUCUCGCGCAGGACACGCGUCACCAUUGAGAUCGGGAACGCCGCGAACUCACCCCCAGUUGUGGU
Molecule: ribosomal RNA, 185 nt
Filed under: uncultured eukaryote
Lineage: Eukaryota
Description: partial small subunit ribosomal RNA
Source: RNAcentral